This is a long non-coding RNA of Sapajus apella (tufted capuchin), 917 nucleotides long. RefSeq lists it as uncharacterized. Lineage: Eukaryota; Metazoa; Chordata; Mammalia; Primates; Cebidae. The transcript has 3 exons. The record is from RefSeq and is a predicted model, not a curated record.
CGAGGCGGGAAGGACUACUGGGCUCACGUGACCAGAGGCCAAGGGGCGACCCGAAGGCCCGGAACCAGCGGCACUCCCAGGCAGCAGAGGACAUUCUGAAAUCAAGAUUCCAGAGGCUACAGCUCUUUACAUAGCGUACCUGAAUCUGCUCCAAGACUUCUUGUCGCAUUUCCACAGCCAUAUGGUAUACGUGAUGAUCAGAGUCAUUGUACAUUACAGCAUUUUGGAACAUCAGCAUCAGAUCUCGCUGGAAUUGGGCCAUGAUGAAAGGAGGAUCAAGUGAACAUUAUGACAACAUUAAUGAGACACAGAAAGUAGAUGUAUAAGAGAAGGCACAGCAGUUUAGAAAGAAGACUGAACUGGAGGUAAGAAUCUAGGGCUUAGUUCUAGCUCUGCUAUUAACUGUUGGUUGAUCACAGGCAAGUCAUGACUGAGCUCCCCUAAGCUUUACUUUCCUUGUUCCUAAAGAAGUUUGUCUCUGCUACUGUUUGAAUGAUGGUAUCCCCUCUGAAAUUCAUGUUGAAACUUAAUCCCAAAUGCAACAGUAUUAAGAGGCGGGGCCUUUGCGAGGUAAUUAAGUCAUUAGUGCUCUGGCCUCGUGAAUGGGAUUAGCAUCCUUAUAAAAGGGCUGCAUAUCGAAGAGACCACCCUCUUACCCUUCUGCCCCUUCUGCCAUGUGAGGAUACAGCAACAAGGCAUUAUCUUAGAAGCAGAGAGUAACCCACCUCAGACACCAAAACUACCAGUGCCUUGAUCUUGGACUUCCCAGCCUCCAGAACCGAAACAAAGAGAAAUAAAUUUUCUAUUGUUUAUAAAUUAUCCAGCCUACAGUAUUGUGCUAUAGCAGUACAGACAAGUGACUCUCCAAAGGUCCAAUCGUGAUCUUUUAUACUCUAUUACCACACAAGUUUAUGAUA